UCCGGUCUCACAAUGUGACUAUAGUGGUUUAUUUGAACAAACAUAGGGAAACAUAAGUAAUAUACUAAAAUGUUUGCUUGAGGAGAGUACAAUCUAACACCUUAUCCCCUGUCUAUUUCGUAGAAAAUAUACUGCUUGACUACUUGAGCAGGGAAAUUCUUCAGGAGGGAGAAAACCCCAGAAAUUUCCAUCAAAUAAAAAUAAAAAGGGUUACACCAGUCCUGGAUUUGUUUGUGACAAAGCAAAGAUGUUAAGUUCAGGAUUUCUCAUUAUCUUUUAAGGACCAUCCUCUUUUGACAGAUGCUGUGUUUUAGCUCUUGACAAGAGGUCUUCUGUAUGCCUAUCCCCCUUUCUCCUUAAUUGCCGGGACUCUAAUAAGGAUCAUGAAAGAGAAAGCACUUGGUCUUGUUGAUUGCCCCACCUUGGCCCAAAAUACCAUGGUUUCCUCUCCUCUGUUUGUCUGCAGGACACUUCUGAAGCUUUCCUCUGGUGCACAGCAUUCUCAUGCAGUGCCCUGUAAGGGGAAAGGGUCUGAAAUUCAGUCUUUACUACUCUCCGCAGCCACAAACCUAACAGUUUGAACAUGAAAAAUGUCUAAUCUGCCAGAUACUGUAUAACCUUGAUUUUGGAGUUCCUGUAGUCUAGCCUAGACAAGGGACAUAAGACAAUCACCUUGAAAGCACAAUUUUAUUUUGAAAGGUUCUAGUAGACUGUGUCCAUCAUUUCUUUCCUUGGUGCCCCUUGAAUUUGAUCCUUUAAAUUUUCAUGGAUUUACAUUUUCUUGCAUUUGCCAGUUACCACAGCCAGAAGAAAUCAAGGAAAUAGGAAAUCUAAGUAUUCUCCUGCAAAGCUCACUUUAUUACUGUCUAAGAAGGUAGAAUUGUUCUCAGGCAUCUUUUUCGACCUAAAGUUGGCCAUAAAUUUCAACAAAAAAAGGUCUUCUUUCAGACCUUCCUCUUCUUUGGUACAAUAAUGCAGGUUAUAUAACUUGCAUGCGCGCAGAUGUCUUCUUGCUUAUGACAGAAGGACGGAGGAAAAUCUGACCAUCUUCUGCUUCAGUAUCAUGUCAAGAACAUAGAAUGUGCUGGAAGUAAGACAACUGUAGCUGACAGGAUUAAACCUUUUAGCUUCAUUCAGGAACUUCUCUAAUGACAUGUUACCUCCUAAGGGCCCGAAAGCACAAUCUACUAGAGCUGUUGCCACUGCCUUGACUAAGGGUGUUCUUCAAACAAUACAAUUUGGAUGUUCUUACUAACCAGGUGAUACCCUCAGUCUGGAAGGUUCUGUUGGUGGAUGUCCCACCAUAGGGGUUUUAUUUCUGUUAUACUGUGAAGAUUGAUUACUUGCCGGUAAUUGGUUUUUCCUUCACAGUCGAAGUUUUUUCUACCCUUCUUAUUAUGCUUUUUUAUUAUUCAAUCUUGAAUGUCCUUUUCCACCAUUUUAAUGUCAUAUGUCACAAACUAGAAAAUGUUAUACUGGUGAGUGGGUGGGAACCUUCAUGUCAGGCCAUUGUGGAACCUAACAGAAAAUGUAAGGCUAUUGAAGGGCCAAACAGAGGAGAGGCUUAAUAGUUAGAAGUAUUUUAUUUCUAGAUUUUCUCAUUCAUUCAGCAAUUCACUCAGUGUAGACUUGAAUCUGGGACUUUAUUGAAACAUAUUAGCUUAUCUUUAGAUU
Molecule: long non-coding RNA, 1674 nt
Organism: Bufo bufo (common toad)
Lineage: Eukaryota; Metazoa; Chordata; Amphibia; Anura; Bufonidae
Exons: 2
Source: RefSeq, a predicted model, not a curated record